RNAcentral lists this long non-coding RNA (1116 nucleotides) under Nicotiana benthamiana. RNAcentral describes it as "long non-coding RNA (NBEN_LNC026396)". The record is from RNAcentral. Lineage: Eukaryota; Viridiplantae; Streptophyta; Magnoliopsida; Solanales; Solanaceae.
CAUCCCUCGCAUUUGCAAAGCUCAGAAAUCUCAAGUUCAUAAAAUACUCUUUCGCGUUCGUGACCCGCCGAAUGCGUUUGCGAAAGUCAGCUUCCCGAAGCUAUCGCGUUCGUGUUAUCCUCUAUGCGUGCACAUAGGCCAAAUGGCUUUGGGCCCAUCUCUCAUUUACCUUCUUCCCAUUCGCGUAGCUUUGGCUGCGUUUGUGAAGGCUUAACCAACUACUGCCUUGCAUUCGCGUCUACUACCUUGCGUUCGCGAAGGUCAAACUCAGCAGCCUCAUAAACUCCCCUUCGCGAAUGCCAAACUUCUUUCUCGUUUGCGAAGAAGGAAACCAGACACCAGAUAUCAGCAGUUCCAAAACAGCCCAAAAUGCUCUGAAGCACACUCGAGGCCCCCGGGACCCUAUCUAAUUAGUCCUAUAACAUAACACAGACCUGCUCGAGGCCUCAAAUCACAUCAAACAACAUCGAAAUCACGAAUUGCAACUCAAUUCAAUCUUUAUGAACUUUAGAACUUCAAACUUCUAAAUGUGAUGCCGAAACCUAUCACAUCUCAUCCGAUUGAAAUUAAAUUUUGCACACAAGUCAUAUUUGACAUUAUGGACCUAUUUUAACUUCCGAAAUCAGAAUCCAACCCCGAUAUAAAAAAGACUACUUUCGGUCAAACUUCUUAAAAACCUUCAAAUUUCUAACAUUAGCCAAAUGACUCUGCAAUGACCUAAGGACCUCCGAAUUCACUUCUGAUCGCUCACAACACCAGAAUCACCAUACAGAGCUAUUCAUAGACACGAAAUCCCAAAUGGACAUUGAUAACACCGAAAUGCACUUCAACCCAACUUAUGAAAUCCUUCCAAAAAUGCUAACUUCCACAAUAUGCUGAAGCAUUCCUGGGUCUUCCAAAAUCCGAUCCGGCCGUACAACCAAGUCGGAAAUCAUCAUACGAACCUGUAGAAACCUUAGAAUCCCUAUUUCGAGGUCAUUUUACUUAAAAAUCUAAUCUUAUUCAAUUCUUUCAACUUAAAAUUUCUUAAAUGAAAAUUCUCAGAUAUUAAAUGUAUACUCAUGGACUGAUGAAAAGAGUAUGAUAUGGUAUGUGGGAUUACAAGUGAACAACUAC